CUGGAGCAUUAAAACAAAAUCAUGUCUUUGGGAUAGGAAUUAGACUUCCAAAAAUAUAUCCUAAAAUUUAAUCUUACAUAACUGCAUUAGAAACUUUAAACACAAAGAUAUCAAUGUAAGAUUUUUAUGAGAAAAAUGAAGGUACCAUAAAUUCUUAAAAACAUGGAAGUUGUAAAAUAAAUGAUUUUCUUCAUGGUAAAUGAAGAAAACAUCAUGUUCAAACAAUUUAAAAUAGCUUAAAUUGUGCAUUAUGAUGCAUCAAGUGAAAAAUGUGAAAACUUUGAAUUGGCAAAGUAUUCGCUAUGUACACAAAAGCUUCAAAAUACAGACUGACUAUCUCUUCAA
Molecule: long non-coding RNA, 345 nt
Filed under: Bos taurus (domestic cattle)
Lineage: Eukaryota; Metazoa; Chordata; Mammalia; Artiodactyla; Bovidae
Description: long non-coding RNA NONBTAT022574
Source: RNAcentral